CAUUACAGAGUUCAUGCCCUUCGGGGUAGAUCUCCCACCCGUGUUAUCAUACCAUUGUUGCUUUGGCGGGCCCGCCUCGGCCACCGGCUCCGGCUGGUGAGCGCCCGCCAGAGGACCCCAAACUCUGAAAUUUAGUGUCGUCUGAGUACUAUAUAAUAGUUAAAACUUUCAACAACGGAUCUCUUGGUUCUGGCAUCGAUGAAGAACGCAGCGAAAUGCGAUAAGUAAUGUGAAUUGCAGAAUUCAGUGAAUCAUCGAAUCUUUGAACGCACAUUGCGCCCCUUGGUAUUCCGGGGGGCAUGCCUGUUCGAGCGUCAUUACAACCCUCAAGCUCUGCUUGGUAUUGGGCGUCCCCGGCAACGGGGUGCCCUAAAAUCAGUGGCGGUGCCGUCUGGCUCUAAGCGUAGUAAAUCUCUCGCUCUGGAUGCCCGGUGGAUGCUCGCCAGUAACCCCCAAUUUU
Molecule: unclassified non-coding RNA, 460 nt
Filed under: Neofabraea sp. KP4
Lineage: Eukaryota; Fungi; Ascomycota; Leotiomycetes; Helotiales; Dermateaceae
Description: sequence contains 18S rRNA gene, ITS1, 5.8S rRNA gene and ITS2
Rfam family: 5.8S ribosomal RNA (bases 164-317)
Source: RNAcentral